RNAcentral lists this long non-coding RNA (563 nucleotides) under Lathyrus oleraceus (garden pea). Its description in RNAcentral is "Pisum sativum (pea) long non-coding RNA (PSAT_LNC015892)". The record is from RNAcentral. Lineage: Eukaryota; Viridiplantae; Streptophyta; Magnoliopsida; Fabales; Fabaceae.
AUUCUAUUAUUAUUAUUAUUAUUAUUAUUAUUAUUAUUAUUAUUAUUAUUGAUAUGGUUUUAUUAGAUUUAUUUAUGUUUGGAUUGGGCUUAGGCCCAUGUUGUCUUUUGCACCCUCAUAUUUAUUAUUUACACCCUUGUGUUUUAUUUUUAUUUUAUUUCUUUUUUUAUUUGAUUAAAUUUUAAAUUAGUAGUUAUUCAAUUAGAAUUUUAUUUAAUUUUUUAUUAUAGUUUUAGUUGAUUGAUUUUUAUUUAAUUACGAAGUGGUUGUAGAAUUUUUCAUUGCAUUGUGAUUUCGAAGUUUAAAUUCAAUGUAGCUUUCGAAAAUUGCUUGGACGCAUAGGUUUUGCUGUCCGACUUCUUAUAGAGUGAUUCCUACAUGAAUCUACUUUAAGUUAACUUAACUUAGAUUUAAAUUCAUUACUUUUUUCGGUUUAUUUUACCAUUGUAAGUGUUGUACAUAAUUUAUCGAGUUGUUGGACUUUUCAUUGCAUUGUGACUUCGAAGCUUAAAUCCAAUUUAGCUUUUAGAAAUCACUUAGAUGCAUAGAUUCGAUUGACCGAC